Molecule: long non-coding RNA, 450 nt
Filed under: Salmo salar (Atlantic salmon)
Lineage: Eukaryota; Metazoa; Chordata; Actinopteri; Salmoniformes; Salmonidae
Description: lncRNA (ENSSSAG00000092986.1)
Source: RNAcentral
GACUAGGUAUCCCCCAUUUCCCUUUCCAACUGACUAGGUAUCCCCCAUUUCCCUUUCCAACUGACUAGGUAUCCCCAUUUCCCUUUCCAACUGACUAGGUAUCCCCAUUUCCCUUUCCAACUGACUAGGUAUCCCCAUUUCCCUUUCCAACUGACUAGGUAUCCCUCCUUUCCCUUUCCAACUGACUAGGUAUCCCCAUUUCCCUUUCCAACUGACUAGGUAUCCCCAUUUCCCUUUCCAACUGACUAGGUAUCCCCCCUUUCCAACUGACUAGGUAUCCCCCCUUUCCAACUGACUAGGUAUCCCCCUUUCCCUUUCCAACUGACUAGGUAUCCCCAUUUCCCUUUCCAACUGACUAGGUAUCCCCCAUUUCCCUUUCCAACUGACUAGGUAUCCCCCUUUCCCUUUCCAACUGACUAGGUAUCCCCCUUUCCCUUUCCAACUGACUAG